UCGAGUAUGGCGUAUAUCGGGGAAUACCUGUAUAGCCACCAGAGGAAGGCGCUGCUUCGCGUUCACAUGAAAAUGUGGUAGUGUGAAAUCAAGUUUGCAAGCGGUAGGACGCGUCGGUGUGUGUCCGUUUUUUCUCUCGUGAAACCAGUACGGAAAAACUAUUUGAAAUCGUAACACACGCACGAACGGAAGUGAGCACGGACCACAACAGAAGCAAUAUUCAAUUGGUUGGUAAGUAUUGUGCUUGACGUUAAAUUGAACAGCUGUUGGCAAAAUAGUUAAUAUUUCCUUCUAUCCCUAGGAGUGCCGAAAACAGAACAGGAGAGGAAAGAAGGCAGGAACGAUCCGAUCCUCCAACGUGCUAGCGCCUGGUAGAGGAGAAGCGGCAGGAAGGUAGAGACGAACAUCCAGCUCGCUAGUGCAGCACGUGGGAGCAGCAAGAGGG
Anopheles coluzzii is the source of this 445-nucleotide long non-coding RNA. RefSeq lists it as uncharacterized. The transcript is spliced from 3 exons. The record is from RefSeq and is a predicted model, not a curated record. NCBI's taxonomy places the organism in Eukaryota, Metazoa, Arthropoda, Insecta, Diptera, Culicidae.